UACGUAGGGUGCGAGCGUUAAUCGGAAUUACUGGGCGUAAAGCGUGCGCAGGCGGUUCGUGAUGUCUGAUGUGAAAUCCCCGGGCUCAACCUGGGAAUUGCGAUGGAGACUGCAAGGCUAGAAUCUGGCAGAGGGGGGUAGAAUUCCACGUGUAGCAGUGAAAUGCGUAGAGAUGUGGAGGAACACCGAUGGCGAAGGCAGCCCCCUGGGUCAAGAUUGACGCUCAUGCACGAAAGCGUGGGGAGCAAACAGG
Molecule: ribosomal RNA, 253 nt
Filed under: uncultured bacterium
Lineage: Bacteria
Description: partial 16S ribosomal RNA
Rfam family: Bacterial small subunit ribosomal RNA
Source: RNAcentral